Molecule: long non-coding RNA, 12008 nt
Organism: Ailuropoda melanoleuca (giant panda)
Lineage: Eukaryota; Metazoa; Chordata; Mammalia; Carnivora; Ursidae
Exons: 10
Source: RefSeq, a predicted model, not a curated record
GGCUCCGAGCUUGGGGACGAGACAGUUAAAGCCUCCCCGUGCAAGCCAGUGAUAUCACACAGCGCCAGUGCCAGGUCAGCAGUCUGGCUGGAGCUCGGACGUGGUUGGUGGUGCCAGGCAGUGCCAGGCACCCCGGGGAGCCAUGAAGAGGGAUCCCCAAACCGGGCUUCCUUCUGCAGCCCAGAGGAUGCUUUGACGACUGCCUCAUGCAAAGAAACAGGGGCUGCAUGGCUGCUUCCCAGAGGAGCCACGUUGGAGCACGGACCUCCCCGGCUGGGAGCCCACUGUUGCUGUGACAAAGGGAGCUCGGCUGAGAACCUGCUCAGUGAAUGAAUUGGAGCCGUGGAAGACAGGAAGUUCAUACUCACAUGUCGCAUGUCCUUCGGCAGACUGUUCAGUAUCUCUGGACCUCAGUUUCCUUUCUGUAAACUUUGUAGGAUUUUAUCUGCCUGGGAAUUUAAGUCUGAGCAUUGAAUGAACUCCUUAGGCCCCCAAUCUGAACACUCAGAGUGUGCAAAGCGUCUUACUAACUCCCCCGCACGCAUGGUCUUCAGUCCCACGUGGUUCUGGGACCGGACCCUGACGGUCUCCACAGACUGAAACGGCUGGCACGUGAAUUUAAGUCACUCGCCCAGACCGCGGACUUGGCACGUGACCCAGCCCUGAUGCAGAGGGAGCCCUGCCGAACCAAGCUUGUGCUUUGAAGCAAGACCCGAUCGCGCCCUGGAGUUCAAGUGCAAGGUGCUGUGCGCAGGAAAUGUUCACGGGGUCACUCGGCUCUAGUGACCUUUUCCCUCUCGCGCGGCCUCUGGUUUGAUGUCUACCUGUGGACAGUGUCGCGUCACCCCAUGGAGUCCCUGAGUUGACAGCGAAUGAGCAAGCCAGUGCCUUGUUUCUGAAAUCAUCAUGGGCCAUUGCUGUUGGUCUGGGAAAGAAGAAAAGACCCACGUGUCGUGGGAAUGUUUGCAAACACGCACCCUGGAUCAUCACACAAGCAGCUCUCGGGAGACGGCGUGUGGGGUGGGGCUCUUCUUGGUCCUCGACGUGGUAGAAUUGGGCCCUCCAGCACUUCUUCUGUGGGUGGGCCUGAAGCCUCCACGCUGUUCGCUCCUGUGAUCCCAGUCACCAUGGACACAGAGGGGAACAGGCGGCCUUCUGUGACCAGCUUCCGUUUACCUGGAUUCCCAUCGUUCUUCCCACAGAGUGAGCAUUGCCUUCAGACGUGGAAGGGCAGGAAGGCGUGGUUUGGCCUCCCACUCUGGCCUGGCCUUUUCCCAGCAACGUGAGCAAAGAAGGGUCGGCCUUGUUUUCCUCCGUCACCUCUCUAAGUCCACUUCUGGUCUGACAAACCCGCGAGGCGUCUGUCCCAGUGAGCACGUGAUGUGAAUACAUAGAUCAGAGAGCCGGGAAGCCCCGUUAGGACACGCAGCUGAGACGCUUCCUCUGAACCCGAAUCUGCACGUAGUUACGGGCACGCUCACCAUUGUGAUGAGGGGAACGCGUCCCCGUAUUUCUCCUCCCUGUCACCCAAAGUUCUCCUCCAGCCCUUCCUCUGGAUGUCGGAGUCCGGACGGAGACGGGAGGGCUCAAGAGUGGAGCGUGUUCUUGGCAAGAAGUAGGGUGCUCUAGGGAAAAGAGGAGAGAUUUAUCUCCCUUUUCCUCCCCACUCAGAGCCCAUUCUGAAGAGAUGUCCGUGUGGGGGAACGGGGAAGAGGGGAGUUCAGAUGUCGGGUUCCUGGCAUUUGGGGGCCAGGAAUGACAGUCAUGCCAGUAGUGCUGUUCGUGCCAGCAGUUCUAGCGGCAGCAGGAGCAGCUAGGGGUCAUCGAGUGCUUACUCUCCUUCCAGAUGCUCUUGACUCUGCAUGGGUAUUCUGGAUUUCACAAAAGCAUUAGAAGGUAGGCACUCCUGUUUUCCCUAUCGGCACACGAGAGGCCCGAUAUUCAGGGAUGGGAGAAACUUACUCGAGGCACAGAGCCACCCACAGGGCCCUCUGUUUCCGCCAGGCACUAGCAGGGGCCCACUGCCCGCUGGAGAGGGAGUUGGUCCUCACCUCCCAGCACAGCCGGGCACAACUACCCCUGGGACCUGGCCCACAGCCUGGCCAGCAGAUGGAGCGGCUCUCCUGAGAUCUCCUCACCCCCCGGCCCACUUCCUCCUGUCUUCCUCUCCCCGAACAGGGUAGAGGGAGCGGGUACCCAAUUUGUGCUCAUUUUCUCCGAAGCAGGAGGCCUGGUGCGUGGGACAUGAAGCGGAGAGGGCCAUGCAGACCAGGGGACUCCUGGGGGUCGUUUUCCCGGCCUCCAGAGCUGCUUCCGUUCCUGGGCUCCUGGUUCGGUCCUCUGCUCUAAGCGCCUUUCCGCUCUGGGCCCCGUCCACUGGGAAGGAGCAUGGUGACAUUCUGCAAGGGUCGCUCACCAAGGGGGUGCAGCAGGCGUGUGCCCACGGCUAAAGCGCGGACACCUGAGAUGUGCUCGAAAACCGCAGAGAAAGCAGCACAUUCCGUGCAGGGGAACGCGGCCAGGAAAGGGUCCGAGGAAGGCACAGCCCUUGUCUUGACGGGAAAAGUGAGCACACCUCAGCAAGCAGGCGUCCACGCGGUUGGGGUGGUGCCACCUGGGCCAGGGAACGGCCUUAGGAGGGCUGACUUUGACCUCUGGCAGUCGUGGAGGUCACGGCGAGGAGAGGGGACCAGCGCACCUGCGAAUACUCUUUACCACCCGGAUGUGCGGCAUUGUCUCUAAGAUCCGCAGCAACGACUGAAUGCUUCGUGGACAUCGAGAGCUUCAAAAUGUUAAAAACACACAAAAAAUUAAACAGGAGUUAAGAUGUAGAUUCACGGAGACUGACGCAACACGGAUCUUUUCAAAAGUUUUAACUUCUCGUCGCUUGCUAGCGUAAGGAUCCUUCUGAGCACAGGGGCUCCGCUCAGAGGCACGGGGGUACGAUGCCAGAGCGGCCGGCAGAGACACGGGUCACGGACGGAGCCGGUCCCGGGAAUGGCCCGGGGGCCCACCUGCGGCGCGCGUGCAGGAGGCGGUUGCUACUGAAAUCCCUGCGCACAGGAGCUCGUGCUCGGCGGUGAGCCGUGGUCCCCAGGUUUGCAGCGGGCGUGGGCGCACGCGGAACAGCACACGUGCGGGUUCCCCUCUCCCGGCGCCUCAAGACGACUCCUCCGGUGUUUGCCGCGUGGCUCCGUGUCUGAGAUACCGUCUCCUCUGCCGGACUCCUGCGCGGCGUUUUGGACUUGCCCUAGAACAUCACAGACCCGAGAGAAGAGACACUAGUAGUCCCCCACACCUGCACGAGAGGCGAUGAGAGGCAUGGGGACAGGGUGUCUCCCCAAGUUUGUCAUAUUUGGUGACCAGUUCAAGACCCAUGGCCCCAUCCUGACUUCUAAUCAAGGAGGACAGUGGGCUGGUUGAAAAUAUCUGGCUUGAGGUAAGCUCCCAGACUGUAACUGAGAAGAGAAACAAAAACUGAGGGCCAGAGGUGUGGAACAAGACAGAACCAUAGGGGUGAGUGAAGCCACAGCCAGAAAACAGUGGCUCCGUGGUGCGGGUCCCAGGAGACAGCACAGUCUGGCGAUGGUGGAGAUAAUGGAGCAGAAGGCGGUGGACCCUAUUUGCAGUAAGACCUACUUAGCCUCAGAGAGCUCUGGGAGUAACAGGUUGACCGGAAGCCAGCCUCCCAGGGAGGGGCGACAGUAAGAUCAUGCUGUCUUGGCUCAGAGUCCAAAUCAGAGAAGUUUAGGAGCUGUGGGAUUCUUCCGGGAGCCAGGAGACCGCGCGCGGUGGGUCACCAGUCACCCACCGUGUACUUUGCGCGUCCGUCAUCGUCGUGGCCCGAGGAGCAGAAUCUGCGUGCUGCCGCGGACGCAGAGGGACAGCGGCUGGAAGGGGCAGUGGGAGUGAAGGGUGGAGUUGGCUUUCCUGGGGCCAUUGUCGGGCAUGAGAGUGCAGCAUGUGACUGGUGCCCUCCAUUGUUUCAUGUGACAACCAUUGUUUUAUGGCAUCAAAUAACAUCUCAUUCCCCGGCCCUAUGACAAAGAUGAUUGGACUGAAGCUUUUAAAAUCACAACGAUGGUCCCGUGGUAUCAGAAAUAAAAACUGUUGACCUGAAGUUAUGGCCAGAUCUUUCAGCUCCCCAAACCUAUUUCACGUCUAUCCAUUCAUGCAUGUGGGUGGCUCUUACGCAAGGUAUGAAAAGAGAUACACAAGCACAUCGGUGGUUUGGAAGAAGGAGAGAGAAUGUGGCUUCUACCAGGGAACUAGGACAAACACUCUCUCCUCUCCUCAAAUAGGCAGCCUUUAUUUGGUAAGAAUGCAAACAUUCUGCUGGGGAUAUUUCUCCUGGACACUUCCCAUCUUGCAAAUGGAGUCUGAAGUGAAGAAAAUGAUCAAAGCGUUGGCAAAGGAGAAGAGAGAAGGACCAGCAAUUUUAUUUGUCAGUAGUAACACUCGGCAACUAUGAGCUUUAAAAUUUCCCAUGUCUUCCCUCCAUUUCAUAAAGAGUUCUAUCCAAAGGAAGAAGAAAACAUAUUUUUUUCAGGUCUAACCCUGAGCUAAUCUCUGUAGCUUGAGCAUCACUCUUUAUUCCCACAGCAGCCCUGCGAAUUAUUAUAGUCCCCUUUUGGUAAGUAUAAAUAUCCACGGAUAUAUUAAAACAUUCAGGAGGUUGCCCAAGGUCACAGAAUGGUGUUUCAUUCCAGAACACAUGAGCUUUCUGCUACAUCGCUUGCUAGGAAGGAUUAUCUCUGGGCAGAGAAGGUGGGGAGCACGGCUUGUAUCCACGGACCAAGACCUGAACCCUCGGACUCGAGACUGUCGUCCUACCUGCUGGGUUACUCGCUCAGUUCAACCAUUGGCGUUUCUGAGUUCCAAUAAUGUGGAACGAAUGAAUCUGUAGGAACAAUGAUCAUACAUCUCACUGGUCAUUAUUAUUCUUAAAACCUGUUUACCAUGCUCCCACUUAUCUUCAUAUUAUUCAAUUGACAAGAAUUACUGUUGUUGUACUUGUUCCUAUGAUUAUUUUCCAGAUGUGGACAGUAAAUGCAUGGAAUUGACAUGAACUACUCGAGGUCACACAGAUAUGAAAUGGUAACAUUUAGAUGUUAAGCUUUCGAAUAGUGAGUUCUUUUCCAACAUUCUUCUGACCUUCAAAAUUUGAAGAAGUAUUUUUCUUGGGUCCAGGCCUGGGCAGAUGGUGGGCAUACUUCCUUGGUAUAUCAAGCAGGGUUGAGGAUGCAAGAAUUCAAUCAGAGAUGCUGGCGCUAUGAAAGCCAGAGACCGAUGGCUAGAUCUCAGUUUUCUCUGCAGGACGCACAGGGCAAGACCUGUAUGAGUGAGGUGGGUGUUAGUGUAACUUCUCAAAGAUGGAGAAGACAAGGCUUAAGAGAUGGAGACAUUCUCAACGUCAUAAAGCUAGCCAUUAACCAAAGGAAGGUGUGUUGGGGCCGGCCAGCUCUGCAACCUUGCCCUGUGGUUAAAGUCAAUAAGUAUUGAACACUAAAGCGAAACCAGUUGUUCCUAAAUCCCAGCUCAUCCCUUUCACCGCUUGGUGAUUUGGGGGACUUUACUAGGCGUCUCUGUGUUUCAGUUCAUCAUAUGAAACCUGGAGAUCAUAAUUUCACUGUUUCACAGAUUUCUCCUGAGAACAAGGUGGGGCAGGGCAUCCAAAGUGCUUCACACAGUCCCCGACACAGAGUCAGGUUGACGAAUGUUAGCUCCCAUUGUUCAGUAGACCACGGGCCCCAUUUCCUUACCCAUAAAGUGGGCAUUGAUGUCAUAUUCUGACAGUAUCUUAGUAAGAACUAUCGGCAAUAGGGCGAAAGAACAUCAAUAAAAGGCACUUUGUGUGUUUGCAGUGGGUAUGGGUGCUACAGAUUUAUAAAUGCUACAGAAAGGGAGAACGGGUCAGUGCUGGCAUUCUCUCAGGAAGCACGAGCCAGGCACUGCUUGGUAGAGCAGCCACUGGGACCGAUAAGGUACAGAUUCUGGUCCCCAGAGGCUCCCAAGAGAGUAAGGAGCACAGACAUGGAGAGACAGUUCUCAAACACAGGGACCGCUUCCAUGGAGGCUUAAAGAGAGGACAAGACACUGUGUCUGCAAGCCUGGCAGCAUCACUUCUCAUUAUGAACUGAUUUUAACUUAAUAAAAGAGAAGAUUCGCUUUAUCCCAUCUAGCUCCCUCUUACCCAGUUUUACACCAGCGUGGGAUGAUGAAGACGGAGUGCCAUCCUGGACACCGGGUGACCUGGCCUUGACCUGGGCUUGCUGGGUCACCUGGGGACACAGCUUCACUUCCUUACACUUCAGACCCAGCCCGGGCAGCCCGACCCGGCUGUGGCUGAGCACACGCCGGCUGGACCCACCUCUCACCCUGCGAGCCCUGAGAAGAGAGAGGGACGCCCUGUGAGGAGCUGACCACACAAGGACCCGUUGAUGGACAGGAUCAGGCCGUGUGUCAUUGGACACCGGACAGCGUCAGUCAGAGGGUCCCUUUCUAAAGGAGUUCACAGUCCAGAACCCAGUCCUGGGACCAAAUGAUUCCAGGUUUCUAGGAAGACGGUUCUAGGAAAUUCUCCACUAGGGAUGAACUUGAACCUUGAGCAUCUGACUUAAAGAUAGCAGUAAUCACCCCUUUCUUCAACAAUGAACACAUUUUACCUGUCGUGGGUUUUGCCACUUUCCAAAGUGAAUUACAAUUAUUUGUGGGGAUGUUUUAUUCCCUUAGUAGCCUGAAAAUUCUUUGAAGACACACCGCAUCUCAAGUUUCCUUGUUGUUCCAGCACAGAGUAAGUUAAUGCAUGUCCAUUGCAUGUGCUUAUUAUAUGUUUAUGAAUGAAUGAGUGAAUGAAUGAAUGAAUGAAUGAGUGGGUAGGUGAAGUAAUGCACAAGUGCAGUGAUUCAUGAGUGUGGACAGCCUCCCACAGGUGCAUCGGCAGGAGUGCUAACGAAUGGUAGUAACAUCUGAUGGUUAAAACAUGAGUGAAUGUCAUCCCCGCGCUGGUCCCCAAACUAGGUGGGACAGGAUGGCCUCCAGGGCCGGCCACUCUAGGACAGAGAAGCUCCCGGCCUCGCCUGGCCUUCCUCAACCUGCAUUGUGUUGGUGCUACAGGUUUUCGUCUAGAUGUCUGUCCCUGAAAACAAAGGUGCCUUCUUUGUCAUCACUGUGGGCCAUCUGUAUCCCUCUGCGGGAGUCCAGGAGAGAGAGGGAGACACCAGGCAGGAGACAGGCAGUGAGCUUGGCUGAACCGUAUGGGGAGAAGCAGGGUUGCAGGUGGGAAGUCAGGACAGAUGCUAAGAGCUGAGACCCAGCUGCAUGCAGAGGCAGGGAGUUGGUCCCCGGGCUGCAUCAGCAGGACUCUGUGCCCUCUGGGCUCCGGGGGAGGACUGGGUGGGGUUGGUGGGUUUCCCCAGCUGGGGAGUGGAGGCGGAGAUGGAGGUCUUGGCUCCACCCCUGCCAGGUUCCCCUCGGGCUGCUGUUCCCUGGCAUGAAGGUUGGAGGUCCUCCCACGGCAUCCCUUUCUAUAUACCUGUGUCUCUUCGCAGGCUCCGGCAGGUGCUCUGUCCCCUCCUCCCACUGCUCAGGGUUCGGGAGAUAACAGCUCAUUGGAAGGAGGCCCCCAGACCCCUACACCUCACCCACACCUUUGUGAUGAGCCCCUGUGUGGAUAGGAGUUUCUGAGUUCUCCUAUUUGACGCAUGUUUCCCACUGGGACCCUAACGGGUGCAGACAGAUGGAUAGACCUAAUCGCCCCUGUUCUCAGUAAGUUCAGAGGCGUUUUCUUUCCUGUGUGACCCUGACAUGAUAGUCACUCUGCUAAAGCCCUGAUUUCCUCAUCUCCAAAGUGGAAUGAAUAGUCUGGAUUUUCACAGGCACUGAACGAGUUGACGCCUGUGGGACACUUGGCACAAGGCCUGGGAGAUGAACACAUUGGAUACAUUUCAACUUUAAAAAGAUGUAAGCAUAGAAAGAUGUGUGCCAGCUGACCCGGAGCAAAGGGGCUCACUCUCCCUCCCGUCCUGCAGAAGGCCAAGUGGUUCCAAGUUGUCAGGACAGUGAUGUCUGAGACAAAGAAGAAAAAGGAAGAACAUUCUCAAAACUGUGAGCUGCCUUCUGGCCCAAAAGGAGCAUAGCCCGGAAUCAGGCACAUGCAUCUCUGAAAAGCAAGGGGGCCUUGUAAGGUUUCUCCAAAAUUAUUCUGAAACCAAAGAGAUUAGUGGUUUUGAAAAUGGGAGUCUCGGGAGGUGUCUGUGUGAGCAAUAAAGUACGAAGUAUGUUUUUCUGAAAGGUAGCUGUUUGUAGAAAGGAGAAUUCUGUUGGCCACGUCUCUUUUUUGCGUGAGUUUGGGGGAUUAAGUGUAGAAACUGGGUUGGUGACACAGGCUCUGGCUCCUUAGCUCAGACCCAAUGAUGCCGCAGAGCCCAGUCAGCUUUCAUGAGAAGUGAAGGAAAACUCCUUGUUUUAAAACUUUGAUCCGAGUAAGAGUCAGAGUGGUAAAUUUUCGUGUGCUAAAAUUACUCCUUGGAAAGCUUACUGCCAGCAGCGGUCCAUGGGGUAGAACCUGGAUGUUUUGGUGGAAUGUUGGAGUUCAGCUCUCUGAUGAGAGAUCUUCUUAGAGUCUUUUCUCAAUAACCAUUCCGAUGUUUUUCUGACUGAUGUAAAAUCCUUGUGCUUGCUAAGAAGAGAAAACAAUGGCAACUGGCGACGGGCGGUAGGCGCGAGUUGGGGGGAUUAGAAACUGUGGCUUUCUAUGCGUAGAGUCACCACCGCUCAAAGAAGCCACGGCCACCUUCUCCUGGGCCUCGUCCCUUCACCCGGUCUGACACUCCUUGCGGGACAAACCGUCAGAGCCCCAGUUCUCCCUCCCACGCGGACGCGGCAGAGACCCUCCACGGGGCGUUGGGGUCUCCUAGGUGAGCAUCUGAUCCGGCUUCCGACGGCAUCGCUGGCAUCAGUCCAGAAAAGCAGCGUCUGUGCAUCAGGAGUGGGGUUGACUGUCAAUGGGAUUUCUACGAGUUGCUUACGUGAUGUGAGCAGACCUGCUAGCAAUGAGGACUGAGAAAGGAACAGAGAAGCCAGUGCAUGCUCAGGGAAGCCUCAGGGCCCUUGAGUGGCCAGGCCCCAGAUGUUGUUUUGGAAGCAAUGUUCUACAUGGCCCGUGUUUAUUUGUUCUAUUUGUUUGGGUGGUUUUUUUUGUUUUUUGUUUUUUUUUGCUAUACAUUUUCUGGCACAGUAAUCCAGGGGCAUUUGCAGAAAUGGAAAUCCACACAUCUUUCUGAACAACCAAUUUUUAAAGUCGUCUUAUUUCUAAAUUUGCUAACGGUGGUCAACAGUUAAACAGAUCCUACAAGCAAUCGGAAGUAUAGUUUUAAAAUUUAAGUUCCUUCUAUAGGCCAACCACUGAGCAAGAUACUUUGACUAAAUUAUUGUAUUAAAACCCUCAAAAUAAUUAUUUGUAUUAAGCUCUCUUAUUAUCCCCAUUUUUGCGAACCAACUCAAAAAAGGUUUGGUGACUUGCAGGUCGGUGGUGGAGCCAGGCCUAACCCUCGUCAGCCCAUCUCAAGCCCUGGACCUUGGCUGCCGUGUGAUGUUGGAGAGUUCAGGCCUCGUAGGGCCUUCAGAUGCCAACCUCUCCAGCUUCUUCCCCGGACAGAUGGGGGAAUGGCGGCCUACACAGCUUAGCUGAAGACAAGCUCGAAGCCAGACAUGCCGCCACCUGGUCCAGUGCAGUUCUAACCACAUGUUGCCAGAGGGAAAUUAUGUGGAGUCAGUUCUGCCCAUUCUUAAGAAAGGACGGUUUUCCUGUGGCGUCUGACAUGUGUGCGUGUCUGCGUGUAGGCCAUUGAUUGGAAAUGACAUUCCAUUGAAAAUGCCUCUGAGGACCAGACACGAAUCUCCAGCAGGGAAGGGUUAAAGUUGCAGUGAUUUUGCAGGCUGGAUCAAAUGUUCUUGAGAGGCCAUUCUUCACAUCUUGUUUCUUUAGCGCUGGGAUAGGGCGAGUAAUCAAAGGUGACAAGCCUUCUCUGCUCGUCUGGUCCCAUUCCCGGUGCAGGGCAGCCCACAGGCGCAUUGAUCUUCAGUGGCAGCUGCUGCAGGUCCCCGACGCAGAGAUCCUGGGCCACGCAGGGCCCCGUUGUGUAGUAACACGAUGGAAGGAAGGAAGGAAGGAAGGAAGGAAGGAAGGAAGGAAGGAAGGAAGGAAGGAAGGACGCACCACUAACUGAGAAGUAAGACAAAACGUUUUCUCUGCAGACAUGAGAUUCGGUCACCUUGAGUUCCUGGGCAGCUGUGAUUUAGGUGCCAUCUCUGUCCAGCCUCAGACGGCAAAGCAAGGCCACCAGAGGUUUGCUGGCCUGCCGGGACGUGUUGGUUUGCUGCGGGCUGCAGGCGCGUUCAAGCGGGAGCGUGCCCCCGUGUAAGGUCUGUAUUAUGUAGGUCUGUGCCUGAAACCAGAGAAGGACACCACGGAGUAACAAAUGCCCCUCUGACCCAUUUUCUCCUGGGUUCUAAGCUACCUUUUGGAAUAAAAGUUGACAACGGGAAAGAGGGAGAAAAAUAAAUUCAUCGAAAUGUAUAAAUCUGCUGCCCAUGAGGUCCUUCGGUCACGUUACUACCCUUAAGUACUUUCCAGCCACCUUUGCACGAGAGAAGUGCUUGUCACCAUUUAGGUAGGGAGUGAAUGGAUCUGGGAGAGUUGAGCCACCCUGCCAAAAUCAUACACUGCAUCUGCAGAAAGAGCUGGAAGGAAGGUGCCUCGAGGUUGGGGCUGAUGACAGUCAAGGCUGUGUUUCCUUGUGGGAUACGUCAUAUUCCCUGAGACUUCCUGCAAGAUGGCUUUGAGCAAGGCUGGGCUCUCACAGUGUUGAGUAUGAUUUGUAAAUCUAAGCCUUUUUUCUUCCAUAAAUGUGAUUUUGCUUUACACACAAAAAGGUGUGACAUGAGGAGACAACUUAGGUUUAUAUCAGGUAUUACCUGACCACGCGAUGGACCUUCAGGGAUUAUGAGGCCGUGUGCAUAGAGUCAUUGAUCUGGCUAGGCCAGCUAAGACUGAACUGCUCCGUGAGCCUUGGGUGGUAAAAUGUAUGGAACCCUUGUGUCUGAUUUCCUAUUCUUCGUUUUGGUAUCUGGUUUCUUCCUUCUAUCUUAGGUCUUGGCCAACACUCUUGAAUUUUUGACUUUUGACUCAUAAUUCAAAUAGCAGUUAGGGUGCUCAGAAUUAUAAUUGUCACUGUCUUCAAAAUCUCAGUCCUGGUGCAAGAGCUUACAAUAACCUCUUGUUCUGAACCCAAAUCCCUACCCCUAUGAACUCCUUCUCUACAAAGUCUUGCCACCAACUCCCUGGUGUGACAAAUACCAUGUCUGUCUUGAUCAAAGUGUGAAUUCCAUAGUAUGCAUCCGUAGUAUAACUAACAUUGGUCAUUCCAUGUUGUAGAAGGUAUAAAAGGUUUUAAAGAGAAACAAGAAAAAAAAAUUGAUUCCUGGAAGAAAAGACUUGUCAAGGCAAUUUCUUGCAAGAGCAAACCCUUCAUUAGAAAUGAAGUUAGAUCUGAUUUUGAAGGAGUGGAUAGAUGUCUCCUGGUAUUUCCUAUUGUCAUAUCAUAUAUGACACAUAUAGAUGUGAGUGAUUGUUUUCAAUCCCACCUAUAUUAAAAGAGAGCUAACCAAAUGAGUAAAAUCAAAUGUAAUUAGUUUAACCUAAAUUGUAGGUUUUCAAAGCAAUUAAUAAAACUGAAAGUUGAAAGCUGCUUGUUAAGCAAAUCAAAGAUCAGGGAACGUACUUCUUUUAUUGAAUGUCACUCCUAUGUAAACCAACCUACACAAAUCAUUUCCAUGUUUGAAAUACAGCAAGUCUGUAAUUGAAAUGCGCGGCGGCAGCAACAACUUCGGUAAUUUGUGCAUUGCCUGGAUUCUUGACGACAACAGCAGCCACGUGCAAGGACUUGGAAUCAAGAUAGACCCGGAUCUGGGGCACCUGGGUGGCUCAGUCGUUAAGCGUCUGCCUU